AACGUAGGGGACAAGCGUUAUCCGGAUUUACCGGGCGUAAAGCGCCCGUAGGCGGCCUGACAAGUUGGACGUGAAAGCUCCUGGCUUAACUGGGAGAGGCCGUUCAAAACUGUCAAGCUAGAGUCUGGAAGAGGAGAGCGGAAUUCCCGGUGUAGUGGUGGAAUGCGUAGAGAUCGGGAGGAACACCAGUGGCGAAAGCGGCUCUCUGGUCCAAAACUGACGCUGAGGGGCGAAAGCGUGGGGAGCGAACGGG
Molecule: ribosomal RNA, 253 nt
Filed under: uncultured bacterium
Lineage: Bacteria
Description: partial 16S ribosomal RNA
Rfam family: Bacterial small subunit ribosomal RNA
Source: RNAcentral